Long non-coding RNA from Ficedula albicollis (Collared flycatcher), 1015 nucleotides. RefSeq lists it as uncharacterized. Lineage: Eukaryota; Metazoa; Chordata; Aves; Passeriformes; Muscicapidae. The record is from RefSeq and is a predicted model, not a curated record. The transcript is spliced from 3 exons.
CAAAAGUGUCCCUGAUCUGCUCUGUCUCAUUGCUGAGGGAGAGGGACUGUGACUCAAAGGCUGUCCACUGGCAACACAAAAAACUACACCAAGAGCACUGGUUCAGCUCUGCCGUAUCCAAUUUCUGUCAAGUGUAGAAUAAUAGCUAUCCAGCGAGCUGGGACAUGCUUCACCAGCAUCAAUAGAGUUGUGCUUCAGAGCAUCCCUCGAGGUAGCAAAGAAUUAUCCCCAUUUUGUAAAUGAGGUAACUCAGGCACAGGGAUUAAAGCCAGAAUGUUCCAAACUGGCUGCCUACUGCUAGGUACCUACACCCAUAUUUACGCAACUUGUGGCCUGAUUUUCAGAAGGGCAGGGCAAUGAAAAUUUUGGCCUGAGGGAUUUGUUCACGUACAGUUUACUGGUAACAACGCCCAGGAUGGAAGCCUGGUCUCUGCUACCUGUCUUACACCUUAACCACUGAAAACAUCCUUUCUACCACUAGCCAAGCCUCAGGUGAAGGCUCCUGAGUGUCCCCAUUCGCCAUGCAGAGGUUCAGAGUUAGCAAUGCAGGCUGGCUGCCUAUGUGCUCUCAGCUAUAGACUUUAAAAGAGCAACAGCAGGAGUAAAACUGGCCAUGUCCUGCUCAUGAGGCUCCUGCUCAGCUGCUCUGUAGCUUCCCCCCACCCGGAGGGAGGACAGGCGAGAAGAGGUGAUGACUUUCAACAAAGGUUAAGGCUGGAAAAGAAGGAAGUGUCAGCUCAAUCAGUUUUGGGAGCAUGGAUUUGGAGAUGGACUUGACUCCUACUAAAGUUUGGAAGUCCAGUCUUGGCACCCUCUGAUUUCUCCAGAAGAAGGCUGAGGGCUGGAUCUGAAUCAAUUCUUAUGCUGCAGCUCCUCUCCAUAUUCACAGCAAACCCAGAAGCUUUGUGAAGCUGGCAGUGACACGGCUCCAUUUCCUUCUGCCCAGGUCUGAGGUGCCUCUUUUGGGAUGGGAGCAACUGAGUCUCACCAAUCUGUCAGCAACCAGGAGGAAGCC